CGCUGGCGGCGUGCCUAACACAUGCAAGUCGAGCGGAGCCAUCUAGAAGAUCCCUUCGGGGUGAUUCUGGGGAAGGCUUAGCGGCGGACGGGUGAGUAACGCGUGGGUAACCUGCCUUGUACAGGGGGAUAACAGUUAGAAAUGACUGCUAAUACCGCAUAACCCGCUAAGGUCGCAUGACCUAGACGGAAAAGAUUUAUCGGUACAAGAUGGUCUCGCGUCUGAUUAGCUAGUUGGCGGGGUAACGGGCCCACCAAGGCGACGAUCAGUAGCCGGUCUGAGAGGAUGAACGGCCACAUUGGGACUGAGAUACGGCCCAGACUCCUACGGGAGGCAGCAGUGGGGAAUAUUGGGCAAUGGGGGAAACCCUGACCCAGCAACGCCGCGUGAAGGAAGAAGGCCUUCGGGUUGUAAACUUCUUUUACCAGGGACGAAGGAAGUGACGGUACCUGGAGAAAAAGCAACGGCUAACUACGUG
This 478-nucleotide ribosomal RNA is filed under the name uncultured bacterium. RNAcentral's name for it is "bacterial SSU rRNA". It matches the Rfam family "Bacterial small subunit ribosomal RNA", at positions 34 to 507 of the family's 1533-position model. The record is from RNAcentral.